Molecule: long non-coding RNA, 1176 nt
Filed under: Cyanistes caeruleus (blue tit)
Lineage: Eukaryota; Metazoa; Chordata; Aves; Passeriformes; Paridae
Description: lncRNA (ENSCCEG00000017570.1)
Source: RNAcentral
AUGAAGCAAUGCCGGUGUGAUCUCCUUGCUGUGGUGCCCAGCUUUCCACACGUGGGCUGCGCUGGUCCCGAGUGCUUUGGCAGGGACCUGCUAGGUGCUGUUACCCCUGGGAAGGGGCUGUGCUGCAGGUGCAGUGAAGGCACCUGCUUCCCCCAGAACCUCUUCAGUCACCUGGUUUCCAGCCUGGAGGCUUUGGGCAGCUCUGACUUAGAUUACAUCUCCCACAUCAUUCCAUACUUCAUCACCCUCUCCACCCUCCGCCCCGUCCUCCAGCCUUUCCUCUCCCCUCCCGCCCUCAGCCACCCUCCAGCUUCCUCCCUGUCCCUCCAGCCAUCCCUGUCUGCAUUCCUGUCUGCUCUGUUUGCCUCCCACCUCAGCAUCCCACAGCCGGUGCCUUUCUGCAGAUGGACUGGGCCAGUCACCCACGGCUCUCCAUGGGGCACCGGCUCCCAGCGAACAUCAAGGGCCCUUUUCUCUCCUCUCUUUCAGGCGAUUUGCAGCUCCUGGGGGCUCCAUGAGCACUGGAGCAGUCCUAGCGAGCUGGAGGUCAGCAGCGCAUCCCUCCAGAAAGAUUUUGUUUGGGGGCGAGGCAGACAGAGUAGACAGUCUGAGGGUGGCCUUGUUAAAAAAGGGUCUUUGAGGUUUGUGGCUGUGCAUGAGGCGGUGGGAAGGAGAGCAAGGGACAGGAAUCCUAUGGAACAGGAUGCACACGUGGCUCCAGGCUUUUUGGGAGAUGCGGUUUCAGCUAUGAGCCGAGCCAUUAGACACUCCAGCACUGCCCUGUCAGAGCAUGGAAACAGGGCCAGCCCCUGCUCCAAGGCAGCAUACAGUCCCUUUUCUUCCCAUGGAGCCCCGGCCAGGCCUGCCCUUACUUGCUUUCCAGAGGACUGCGAGCCCUGGAGGUGGCUUCGCGGUCCCACCAGGCAGGAGCUGUGCCAUGGCCUCUGCCCCACGGCGCCAGGGAGAGCCGGCAAGUCAUGGCCCCGAGAGCCCAGAGCUGGCCGAUCCCAGGCCCAGAGCUGGCCCGUCCCCAGCCCCAGAGCCGGUCCUGGUCCCGAGAGCCCAGAGCUGGCCCGUCCCCAGCCCCAGAGCCGGCCGAUCCCCAGCCCCAGAGCCGGUCCUGGUCCCCAGCCCCAGAGCCGGCCGGUCCCGGGCCCAGAGCCGGCCGAUCCCCAG